CCUACGGGUGGCAGCAGUGAGGAAUAUUGGUCAAUGGACGUAAGCCUGAACCAGCCAAGUCGCGUGAGGGAUGAAGGUUCUAUGGAUCGUAAACCUCUUUUAUAAGGGAAUAAAGUGUGGGACGUGUCCUUUUUUGUAUGUACCUUAUGAAUAAGGAUCGGCUAACUCCGUGCCAGCAGCCGCGGUAAUACGGAGGAUCCGAGCGUUAUCCGGAUUUAUUGGGUUUAACGGGUGCGUAGGCGGCCGUUUAAGUCAGCGGUGAAAGUCGGAGGCUCAACCAUGGAAUUGCCGUUGAAACUGGGGGGCUGGAGAAUGUUUGAGGCAGGCGGAAUGCGUGGUGUAGCGGUGAAAUGCUUAGAUAUCACGCAGAACCCCGAUUGCGAAGGCAGCCUGCCAAGCCAUGACUGACGCUGAGGCACGAAAGCGUGGGGAUCAAACAGGAUUAGAUACCCCAGUAGUC
RNAcentral lists this ribosomal RNA (460 nucleotides) under uncultured bacterium. Its description in RNAcentral is "partial 16S ribosomal RNA". It matches the Rfam family "Bacterial small subunit ribosomal RNA", at positions 338 to 795 of the family's 1533-position model. The record is from RNAcentral.